UACGUAGGUGACAAGCGUUGUCCGGAUUUACUGGGCGUAAAGAGCGCGCAGGCGGUCGAUCAAGUCGAGUGUGAAAGCCCCCGGCUCAACUGGGGAGGGUCAUUCGAUACUGAUCGACUCGAAGGCAGGAGAGGGUAGUGGAAUUCCCGGUGUAGUGGUGAAAUGCGUAGAUAUCUGGAGGAACACCGGUGGCGAAGGCGGCAUCCUGGACCAAUACUGACGCUGAGGAGCGAAAGCCAGGGGAGCAAACGGG
This 253-nucleotide ribosomal RNA is filed under the name uncultured bacterium. RNAcentral's name for it is "partial 16S ribosomal RNA". It matches the Rfam family "Bacterial small subunit ribosomal RNA", at positions 524 to 776 of the family's 1533-position model. The record is from RNAcentral.